Molecule: ribosomal RNA, 489 nt
Filed under: uncultured bacterium
Lineage: Bacteria
Description: partial 16S ribosomal RNA
Rfam family: Bacterial small subunit ribosomal RNA
Source: RNAcentral
UUGCACGCUGGCGGCAGGCCUAACCCAUGCCCGUCGAACGGUAACAGGAAGAAGCUUGCUUCUUUGCUGACGCGUGGCGGACGGGUGAGUAAUGUCUGGGAAACUGCCUGAUGGAGGGGGAUAACUACUGGAAACGGUAGCUAAUACCGCAUAAUGUCGCAAGACCAAAGAGGGGGACCUUCGGGCCUCUUGCCAUCGGAUGUGCCCAGAUGGGAUUAGCUAGUAGGUGGGGUAACGGCUCACCUAGGCGACGAUCCCUAGCUGGUCUGAGAGGAUGACCAGCCACACUGGAACUGAGACACGGUCCAGACUCCUACGGGAGGCAGCAGUGGGGAAUAUUGCACAAUGGGCGCAAGCCUGAUGCAGCUAUGCCGCGUGUAUGAAGAAGGCCUUCGGGUUGUAAAGUACUUUCAGCGGGGAGGAAGGGAGUAAAGUUAAUACCUUUGCUCAUUGACGUUACCCGCAGAAGAAGCACCGGCUAACUCCGUG